Molecule: transfer RNA, 72 nt
Filed under: Johnsonella ignava
Lineage: Bacteria; Bacillati; Bacillota; Clostridia; Lachnospirales; Lachnospiraceae
Also listed under: 2 other names
Description: tRNA-Gln(ttg)
Rfam family: tRNA
About the family: Transfer RNA (tRNA) molecules are approximately 80 nucleotides in length. Their secondary structure includes four short double-helical elements and three loops (D, anti-codon, and T loops).
Source: RNAcentral
UGGGCUAUCGCCAAGCGGCAAGGCACAGGACUUUGACUCCUGCAUUCGUUGGUUCAAAUCCAACUAGCCCAG